Long non-coding RNA from Mustela lutreola (European mink), 4123 nucleotides. RefSeq lists it as uncharacterized. Lineage: Eukaryota; Metazoa; Chordata; Mammalia; Carnivora; Mustelidae. The record is from RefSeq and is a predicted model, not a curated record. The transcript has 3 exons.
GAGACAGCGCCCUCGUCGGCCGCCAUCUUGGAAGAGGGCAAAGACACUCCUGACGCUCUCCGCCUUUCAGUUCGCUUCAAACGCCAGUGCCAUGUUGGAUCACGAAUGAAGCAUUGGCAAGAAUGUGGAGAAAAAGGAACCCUCCUGCCCUGAUGGAUAUAAUCAGUUCCUUGAGAGAGGAUAUUUCUGACACAACUUAGCAUCUCUGACUACCAGAAGAAUAGGGGCUUAGUUUCAGGAGCAGGUAAUGUGCAUGAGCUCAUUUAUUUUUAUUUUUAUUUUUUAUGGGUGCCUGGGUGGCUCAGUCAGUUAAACAUCUCUUGAUUUUAGCUCAGGUCUUGACAUCGGGGUCAUGAGUUCAAGCCCUGCAUUGGGCUCCACAUAGGCAUGGAGCCCGCAUUAAAAAAAAAAAAAAAAUCCAUCAUCUUUUAUUUUUGAGAGCAAGCAAGCAUGUGUGCACAUGCUAGCAGGAGCAGUGGGGUGGGGAGAGGCAGAGAGAGAAUUCCAAGCAUGCCCAACAGAGGGCUUGAUCUCAUGACCCUGAGAUCAUAAUCUGAGCUGAAAUCAAGAGUCAUGUGCCUAACGGACUGAGCCACCCAAGCACCCUGCACUCAUUUAAUUUUUAUAACCAUGGGGGGAGGAGGUAUUACUCUAAUUUUAUAGACAAGAAAACUGAAGCACAAACUACACAACUCCAGUAGGAGGUGCAGCUGGAACCGACUCCCCUUGGCUGAUUAACCAGGUUUGCUAAGCCCUACCCUAGUCUCCUGUAGUGUUUGUCUUCAGUGAACAGGUCAGGUGCUUUCUGGAGAGAGAUCUGGGACUUCAUGGACCUUACAGAGUAGGUUGUAUGUCUACUUGUUAAUAAGUACUUGACGGGGGGCGCAUGGGUGGCUUAGUGGGUUAAAGCCUCUGCCUUCGGCUUAGGUUGUGAUCUCAGGGUCCUGGGAUCAAGCCCCACAUCAGGCUCUCGGCUCAGCAGGGAGCCUGCUUCCUCCCCCUCUCUCUGCCUGCCUCUCUGCCUACUUGUGAUCUCUGUCUGUCAAAUAAAUAAAUUAAAAAAAAAAAAAAAGUAAUUGAUGAACCUGGCCUGAGGCUCUCUUUCACUUUAACAUAGCACCUGGAAUAAGGUUGUGGAGGAGCCCUGUAACUCCACCUCUCUUAACUACUGGAGGCUACUAACGUCUGCCCAAAAGAAGCUAGUAAGUGUGAAUGACCAAAUCGACAGGUUACUUUAUAAUUUUCUUCUUUCUUAAUUAUCUCCAACUAGAAAAACUCUAGUCCCAGAGUCCAAUAAUGUGAGGAUUUAUACACACUUCCACGUGGUCACCACUGGGGCAAAAACAGUCUCUGACAUGAAGCCCUCCCUGCAGAAUAUCAGCAUUUGGAACACAGCAGGGCCUGCGGGCUAAGAUUUCAAACAAGCAGCAGUUAGAAAUUUUAAAGUUGUCUCCAAACAUUGUAGGUCUCCUGGCUGUCUCCAGUUCCAGUGAUCAAAGCCACUGAAGGUAAAUGAUUAUAGCUGUCGGAAUGGCCCCUCCCACUUCCCUUUUGGGUCACUGUCAAGGAAAUCCUACCCUAGUGACCCUGUCUUUCUUCUGCAUCUAUCUCAGAUGGCCCCAUUGGAUUCUCUCCUAACUCAGGUAGCUCCAGGUUCCGAAAACACCUGAGAUUGUUGUCCUGGCUGGUUGUUUCAUAUCACAAGUAAUCUGGUAAUUGCUUCUGAAAUGCAGGUCUACUUAGAUUUGGUGGUGAGGAGCAUAGAACUGGUACUUUUAAAAUGUCUUAAAAAGUGGAAAAUAUGUGUGAAUAUAAAUGGCUAAACCCAAACUAUAACGUAGGUAUUGAGUCUAUACUAUCAAUGUAAUUUGGUGAAACUAUGGACCAUGCCCUCCAGACUGAUUUCACACAAACAUUUAAGUUUUAAUUUCAUUGUAAUUUGAAAAGUAAUAUGCCUGGUUCAGUAAAAUUUGGAGUUCUCGUUUUUCUAUAAUCCAUCUGGAACAGUGCUGAUAGAACUUUACAGAAAGUUUUAACCUGUGCUGUCCGAUCAGGUAGCCACUAGUCACAUGUGACUACUGAAUGCUUGAAAUGUGGUUAGCACAACUGAGGAACUGAAUUUGAAAAUUUAUUUAUUUUAAUUAACUUAAGCUUAAAUAGCCACUUGUGACCGUGGCUACCAUAUUAGUCAUAAUGGAAGUAGAAUUUGAUGAUGACCUUAUAACAGGAUAGUCUAUUACUUUGCAGUCACAAAGUAACCUAAAAUCUUGGUGAUUUAUAAGAACCAAGGCUUAUUUCUUACUUGUGUUAUGUACCCAGUGGGGGUUGACUGGGGGCCCAGGCCAAUAAAGCAGUCACCAUCUUACAUGUUGCCAGUCAUAGGGGAGAGCCUUACACUAGCACUUAAGUGCUCUGGCCCAGAGGAGACACCCACCACUUCUACUCACAGCUCACUGCCUGGCACAAGUCACAGCCCCAUCGAGCCAAGGACCCACAAUGCUGUGCCAGGGGGAAAAGAGCCUCCUUAAUGACUAGCAAGGAUGUUUGCCUCCCUUUCAAAAUACAGUGAAGGAGUUCCUACAGGGUAAAGACAGUAGUAUUACUUGUAUUUUCUUGAAAAUUGGAGAAUUGAGUUUCUUUAGAAUUCAGUUAUCCUUAAUCUCCUUGACACUUAUUAGCAUUGAUUUAUUAAUAACCAGUAAGAUGUGAAAAGUAAAAUUCAAAACACUUUGAUUAAAAAGUAAAAGACACUAUAUAAAGUUAGAGCUGACAAUAGUCAUCGUGUCUUUUUAAUUAUACAUGGAAGUAUCAUUUAAUAUGAGGUUCUGCAAUGUAAACAGCAACUAAUGAAUUUUUAUGUGUUUGGGAUGAAAAUGGAAUGGGAGAAAAUGUCUUUUUUUCCUGGUGCAGAAUAUUUAUAGUCAGUUUUUCCCUAGCAAGGAAUAAAAAGUCCUUUUCUUUAAAAAUAGUAAUUUCCUCACUAGGAACACUUGUAGAUUGUGGUUGCCUAAAAAAAAAAUGAAAAAAAUUAAAUAUUUAUUAAUUGGACAAUGGAUUUUUUCCCUCCAGACUACAUUGUAGAAUCAUAGAAUCAUCUAACCAACAUUUAUUAGUAUGCCUUGAUCCUUUCUAGAGUAUCUAUAAUAUCGUUUGAACACUCAAGACAUAUGGGACUCACCAUCUGAUAACAGAUUUCCAAUAGAGCAGGAGGGCAAUCAGGAAUUUCCUCCUAACAAAUGUUUCAAUAUCAAGACACAGAAAGAUAGCACUUGAUUGCCAAUAACCGCAGCAAAAUUACAAAUGCAAACCAAGCCCUAGUUAAUAAUAUUAAUGAUGAUGAUUAUUUUGUCACAUGCUGUAAAUGUCAUAUAGAUCUUAGCAUUAUGAAGAUUUGCUAGAUAUCGAAUGUAUGGAAGUUAUCUGUAGAAUUGAACCAAACUGAUGCUCAAGAGAGAUUUUGCACAAAAUUUGCAAAUUAGGCUACCCAGUGUGAACAAGAUCUCUGUAAGUUGUUCUGUUCUGUAGUGAAACCCAACCGUCUCAGCCAUUCAUACAGCACAGCUUUUGUUUGUCAUAGCCAGGAGCUCUCUGGGUAGUCUCCAGCUGGUGGCAGAGAAAGAAAGAGAAGGCUGCAGAGACUGAACAAACAGCAUGCACUGUGGUAUCCUUUAUUUAAAAACUGUGAGCUAACUACAGUCGUAGUGUUCUCAUUUACCAUUCCGAUGGCAUAAUAAACUGGGAGAACAUUAACACAAUUUCAAGACAUUAAAAACCUGUAGCAAACACACACACACCACACAUACGCACACAUGACAACACACAUGCACACAAAGAUUAUAGUCUAAACACAGCUAAGUGAAGAAAAGCUUCAAAUGCUCUAAAUCAAAUUUUAAAACCCUUUAUUAUAAACUGUGGCAAUACUGUGGCUAUUAUGAAAAAAAAAUGUUUAACUGCUUAAAAAGCAAAAAGAAAAAUACUGGCAAAUUUGAAACUAGCAGCAAAAAGCAGAUAAAAAUAGAAUGGAAGGUAACAUAAGACUAAUAUCAAAGUUCUAAAGUUGAUACUGUGUAGGGUUGAACUGAAGUCAUUUCAGACUGGUUCUUGAGGAACUAUUAAAAAGUCC